RNAcentral lists this ribosomal RNA (387 nucleotides) under uncultured bacterium. Its description in RNAcentral is "bacterial SSU rRNA". It matches the Rfam family "Bacterial small subunit ribosomal RNA", at positions 28 to 414 of the family's 1533-position model. The record is from RNAcentral.
AUUGAACGCUGGCGGCAUGCUUUACACAUGCAAGUCGAACGGCAGCGGGGGCUUCGGCCUGCCGGCGAGUGGCGAACGGGUGAGUAAUGCAUCGGAACGUGCCCAUGUCGUGGGGGAUAACGUAGCGAAAGCUACGCUAAUACCGCAUACGCCCUGAGGGGGAAAGCGGGGGAUUCUUCGGAACCUCGCGCGAUUGGAGCGGCCGAUGUCGGAUUAGCUAGUAGGUGAGGUAAAGGCUCACCUAGGCGACGAUCCGUAGCGGGUCUGAGAGGAUGAUCCGCCACACUGGGACUGAGACACGGCCCAGACUCCUACGGGAGGCAGCAGUGGGGAAUUUUGGACAAUGGGCGCAAGCCUGAUCCAGCCAUGCCGCGUGAGUGAAGAAGG